UGGCCCGUGGUGUAAAGGUAGCACAAGUGGUUUUGAUCCACUUAGUCUUGGUUCGAAUCCAAGCGGGCCAG
Molecule: transfer RNA, 71 nt
Filed under: Planctomycetota bacterium
Lineage: Bacteria; Pseudomonadati; Planctomycetota
Description: Planctomycetes bacterium tRNA-Gln
Rfam family: tRNA
About the family: Transfer RNA (tRNA) molecules are approximately 80 nucleotides in length.
Source: RNAcentral